CUGGGCUGAGGGAGCGGCCGGCAGAAGUUGGUGACAAAGAUGCCGUGCCUCGCAGCCGGCGUGUUUCUUUGUGCGUUUAGCGGCGUGUCCCGACACCGUCCUCGCUCAGCGCGAUCGGCCGGCUGUUCUGUCCUGUGUGCGUCGCUUAAAGAAUUUAUUCUAUUGAGGAGGAAAAGCCUUCCUAAUUUCGGCGGAGGUUUUCCGAACGUGGUGUUGAAAUGGCAAGCGAAAAACAAUUUAUUUUUUGGUAAUUGGAUGUGCAAACCAAUCUUUAGGAAAUUGAAUGCAUUCUGCUUUGUCAUCCUGCUGCUGGCUUUACUGUUUUGAGUGGCUUUGCGCUAUUUCUGCUGCUGCUUCCUGUCCUUGACCCAAUGAUACAUUGUGAACUUCUCCCCAGUCGAUGGAAUCCUGGUAAAAUGCUGCAAAGGAUUUGAGGUUAUCAUCUGUCUCUCCCUAACUUCUGACAUCUCUUUAUAACAAGAAAGAGUCACAGCCAACUGUAACAGGAGGGCAACACAAUGAAUCCCGGUGCCAAAGCAGCUCAAUUAUGCCUGGUUUAUUACUGAUGAAGGUAAUUGGGUGGAGUAGCAGACAUCGGUGAAGGAAAAGCAGCUAGAAUGCAAUGUUUGCAAAGCAAGGCUUUGAGCUCCCCUCCUCUGUAAACAUUUGUCACUCCUUUCAAAGGGAAGAUGGAAACUCUUGGUAUGGAUGCAAAACUCAGAAGAGGUCUGUGCCAAAUAAGAGCAAGAACACAGCUGCACAAGACUCAGCACACUUCUCACAGACAAAAUGCAAUGAAGGAAAAGAAGGCACUUUAAGCUAAAUCAGAGAUCAUUAUAGAAUACUUUUUCCAUUCAGCUUGCACUAGAAGGAAUAUGUACAUGCGGCGGCAGCACUUGGGGUAUGAAGAGCUUCUUUGAAAGCAGAAGCAGUUGCCAGUGUUUGAGGUUUGGAUGGUGAGUGAGAAAAUCAGCUGUUCCUGCAGAGGUGCCCUCAGCAACAGCAGCUUCUGAGAAAUCCUGCUUUUGUGUCCUCAAUGAGAACACAGCCAGCUCUGUUUGCAGAAAGCAUUUUGGACCAACAUCUAUUGCCUGAGGAGGUUUCCAGAGGCCAAGCAGAGGCAAUCAGCUGUGUAAACAUUUCAAGGUACAGCAAGGAGCCAUAAACACAGAGCCAUAAAUGGAGCUUGUGCAGAUCCUUGCUGUACUGGUCUGUGAAGGCAUGCUGUUAUCUUUCAAACAGUGGUGCACGGGGGUGUUAGGCAAUGGUCGGGUCCUUCACCCUUGGCGUCUUACUGUGCUUGUUUUGCCUUCCAACUCCUCUUAACACCUCCAGUCUAUUUCAGAUACUAAACUCAAAGCCUUCCUGUUGGCAAAGGGGAACAUACUGCAUAUAAGGACCUAUUAAUUUAUUAGUUUAAGGUUUUCAACAGUCUAAUAGUAAAAAUUACCGAAUUCAUACAGGAAGAUGUCAUAAAAUAGAGUUGAAAUUGUUAGACAAAAUUUCCCUGUUCUCUUGUGUUGUGCUUACUCCUCCAGUGUGCCUUUGAGUCUUAAGACUGACAUUUUAGUAUUUCUCAAAAGGAAUGGGUGAGUAUGGUGAGUCAUCACCAGGAUGAGUGUGAUAUUCAGGGGUCAGGGGGAUGGCUUUUUUUCCUCUGUCUGGUGUAUUCUUGAAUUUUGUUUUAUGUUUUCUUAACACUAGAAACUCACUGUGAUUGAAUGACUAUGAUCUGCAUCCUCUGUGUUUGCACUCUUGUUUCCAUGACUUACUGUAGAGCCAUAGGCAAUUUAAUCCGCAAGAAAAAGCCACUUGUUUUUGUUAUAAACUAAAGUUAAAUUGAAACAAAUUGAGUUGCAUGUACCUCACAGCUACAUGCAGCCAAAAGAAUUUAAAAUCUACUUAGGCCAAGACAGAAUUGCUGAGGCCCAUUACCAUCAUGUCAACAUUAAACAGGGUUGGCCAUGCUUUCCCACCAGGUGCUCAAUCGCUGGUUCAAGCCCUGACUUAGCAUUUCCGCUACAGAGAAUCAUAGAAUCAUAAAAUGGCCUGGGUUGAAAAGGACUAUAAUGAUCAUCUCCUUUUUACCUCCCUGCUACGUGCAAGGUCACCAACCACUAGACCAGACUGCCCAGAGCCACAUCCAGCUUGGCCCUGAAUGCCUCCAGGGACAGGGAGGGACCAUAGCGUAAUCUGUGAGGCUAUAGGAUAAUUAAAAUAAUACACUUCAAUCUAAGAUAGAAACUUCACACACACACUCAGAGGAAUAUUUGUGAGGUAGCCCAGAAUUUCUGGAAUUGGGUAUGCAUACCAACACAGCUAGAUCCCACAUAUAUAUGAUUAUAGAGUGCUUAGAAACAGAAGUGCCAUGAUCAUAUAUAGUUAACUUUCGAGCUAAGCAAUCAUGUGAAGACUGGAAACUAAUAUCUUCACAUAUGUAUUGCGUAUUUCAAUAUUUUUUUCUGGCACUCAUCUGAAAGUCUCACUGGAAUAUUCCAUUUUCUGUGAUACUCUGUGUUCACAGGUGCAUAUUUUUAUUACAAGAAACACUCGUUUUAUAUAUCUCCAAAAUUAUGUGAUCACCACCUUGGUACAAAAAGAACUUUUCCAGCAACUUGGUACGUGAUUACAUAGCUUACAUAUAUGUAGCAUUUCCAGCAUGUGCUAUGUUCAGGAUGUUUUAAAAGAUUUCCAAUAUAGCAGUACAAAAAUUUAUUUAAGAACUCUGAUUUUUCCAUCACAAAAAUGUUUAUACCUUGUUGAACCAUCUUUGCUUUUAUGUUCUUUAAAUAUAUGCCCUUGUGCACCUCUGAGAAAAAUUUGGCUCUGACUUCUCUAUAGCUUCCCAUGAUGUAUUUUUAGGCAGCAAUAAAUCCCUGCCAUCCCCUUGGCCUUUUCAGGGCUGAGGAAUUGCAGCUCCCUCAGCCUCUCCUGGCACGUUGCCUGCCGCAGUCUGCGCUGCUCUAGUGCCGUAUGGCAGUGUCUGUCUUGUACUGCAGGAGAUACCAUAAUUAAAUUCGUAAUUUUCAUUUAUGGCUUCUACUUUUGUUCAUAUACUUCUUGACAGUGGAAUGCUUUUAACUUGUUCUGCAGCUGUACCCUCUUCUCAAAUGUUAUGCUGUGCCAGUUCGGUUGGAUGUGCUCCUGUUUCAGCUUUAAGUUUCCCUUCUGCAAAGUCCAAAUUUCUGCUUGCACUGCCUUUUCUACAUUUUCUUCUCUUGCUGCUAACCAGCACAUUAUAGGCUAGGCAAGAGAAGAAUUUAGGCUUUGUUUUCUUUAAAUUUUAGAAAAGGUUGCUUUGCUGCCUGAAUAGUUUUGCAAGAAGCUGGAUCCCAAGGGUACGCUCAUCACUGGCUUUAGACCAGACAAGUUUAGAAAGGAGAACAUUUCCAAAGAAGAUUUGAAGAUUAGAGGAGCAGCAGAGCUCAUCUGAGUUUGCACAAGUCUGGCAGCAUUUGGCUCUGCAGAGUGCAGACAUGGAGGGCGCCUGGUUUCCCCUGCAGUCAGUGAGAACAGAGGAUAGUCAUUGUGGCAGAAAGUAUUCUCCCUUUUGCAGGAUUUGACUCCUGAAGAACUCCACACUACAAUGAAAAACUCUUCCUCACAUCUCCCCAGUUCCAAUUCAGGAGCUUGAAAUGAUUGUAUUAGCAUUAGAAAUAUUACAAAGAAAUCAGUCUAAAAAUCAUUCUAGCAAAGGCAGUGGAGCUGCAAUUGCAGGUGCCAUGGAAUUUAGUGUGAAAGAUGGCAUUUCCAAAUUUGUUUCUGAAAUAUUUGAAAAGACUGUGUAAAGAGGGGAAGCAAGCAAACUAGCAGGCAGUGUUUUUUCCCUCUGUGGUUUUUGUGGACUAAGAAUAGAGGGAACACGUAGCAAGCAUCUUGCUAUUAGAUUUACCCAUGACAAAUAGUGCAGCUGCACAUAGUGUGCAAGAACAUCUGUAGACUCAUGACACAUGCAAAAUCCCCCACACUAAGAACGUGACAUUAUACUGAAAACAAUUCAGUUGUAAAAGCAAUAUAAAUCCAUUUUAUGUAGACUUUCUCCACCUUCUCCUCCCCUUCUCUUUUGAAUUAUGUUAACUGAAGAAUUCUGUCACUCCUACAUGACAUUAGUAAAAAUCACAAUGUAAAAGUGACUACACAUUUCAAAGUUGUCCCUUUUUUCAUUAGCAGUUGGAACGCAGGUAUGCCUUUCCUGGAGGAAAAGAAAGUUUAAGAAAGAAUAACCAGCAGCAGAAAUGCAUUAGAUACCAGAUCCUACUCCAAGUGGAUCUUGACAGGGUUUGGCAGCUGCAAUUUCACUCUUCAGAAAUCAAGGGGUGAUUUCCUGUGUCUCUUUGCAGUUGUUCAGUUCGAAGUGAGCAGUGGGAUUGCUACAAGCCUUUACUUCGCUGAUAUAAAUGCUUGCACAAAAUGCAGCAAUAGGGAACAAUAUGUGUAAAAUGUGUGGGUUUCUAAGAUAAAGGGAAAUUCCUUAGCUGGGAUUUUUUGAGUUCCCAUAGCUUCUUCAAGAAAUAAUGCAGUUAUUGUGGAAUUCUUUAGAAGUUCAUCUAAGCUCCACAUUGGCCUAAUGAAUCAUAGAAUGGCUUAGGUUGGAAGGGACCUUAAGGAUCAUCUAGUUCCAAACCCCUCCUUCUCCAAUACUUUCUUUGCAAUCUUUAGACUUACUGAAGUAAAAAGUCUUAAAAUGGCAACACAAAAACUAAUUUUUGUUGCAAGUCUGAGGUUGUCUAAAGACUUUGUGAUGGCAACGUCAUGAGAAGGCAGACCUCCGCAUGCUGUUAGUAUCUGGAUCAUCAUUAACUUGUUUCUUUGGAAACAUCUCACAGUCAGAACAGUUCAAAAUAACUAUCUGAACCUCCAAGAACGUUUCCCCAUUCUUUAUGUAGAUUGCAGAAUGAGACUGAAACUGGAUGGGUCAUCCAGCUGGGUCAUAAUUUUCAGCUCUCUGCCCAUUAAAUUCCUGCAACCUAACUGCAAAACCAUAACCCUUGAGAGCAAUGUAAUGAUGUUAUUGAUAGCAUAUAUUUUGAGCAUACUGACUUUCUGUAUUCUUUGGUCAAGUCCUUGGAAUUCAGUUUCCUUUCCUAGGUGAAGAAAGCCUUGUUUUUCUAUUUCAGAGAGAUAUAGAGCACAAAUGAGAAUGUUUUUUAAAGUACUCUGAAGAUGGAAAAAGUGUGCAAGUACCACUGAUGUGACCUGACAACAUUUGUUUACUACUAAGGGUAUAUUUAUCUCUUAAUUAAAUUAGAUUUGAUUCCUUAUUCAAUAACGCAGUGAUUUCUAACAUUCACUUCCUGGUUUGCACGUUCAGCAACUGUUCACACGAGAUACAUGAUGAUGUACAUCACCAUAGCAGGAAGGACCAUCCUGCAAUGCAGGAGUUGGGAAAUGCCCUUUUUUUAACCUGUUUUAUGUCCUCACCUUUCAUGCAGAGAAAUACACGUUCAGUGGUGAGUUGUGACUGCAAGUUGUGGCCUCUCCAUGCUGGCAAUGACUGCCUGUUUUCCACACUGUGCGCCUGAACGUCACUGCUGUAAUCCUUCUUUUGUUGCUGCCCGUGCAUUAGUUGGUCUCUGAGGUACACGACACAGCAGUUGCAAACAGCUCAAUAUAGUAAUGGGCUCUGGCGAAUAAUGAAAGUAGCGAUAAGGUUUUUAAAAAAUUAGCACUCUAAGGAGCUGUGGGAAAAUGUAGCAAAGCUGUUCUUAUACGGUAUGCAAAGCAGAGCACUUCAAUUCCACUUUUGCAGCUUUUACUUUAAAUAAAUUGAAGAGUUUUAUGAUCAUUUUAAAAGCCUCAUUUUAUUUUUCUCAAGGUGGAAUAACUGUGAGUAAACACACUGUUUUCCCAUAGACAAGCUAUUUGAGAAAUACAGGUAAUAAAAUAAACACCAGUCUAGAAAACAAACAUAGUUGUUUUAGACCAGAAGGAGACAAAAUCAGCAUUAAGAUUAUUAUUAUUGUAGCUGAUUUAAUUCUCAUUUGUUUAUCUUCAUUUCUGUCUCUGCUGCUGUGAGUCUUGUUUAUUAGCUUCUCAGCCAGGAGACUAUCCCGUAGGAAAUUACUGUCAGCAGCCAGAAAGAGUAUCAGCAAUUCAUCCUCAUGCACUGUCAACUUAAUUCUAAAGAAAUUUAGCUGCUUUGUAAGUUCACGCUGAAGCAGUGAGUUUACAAAUUGAUAAAUCAAACCAUAUUAAUAAAGAAAAUAUGUACCUCUUUUUCAAAUAUUCUGCUUUCCUAAAACUUUGUUGUAAGCACAGUUUUUAGUAAUCGCAUGUUCAAUUUCUAGAAAAAAAGAGAAAGAAAUCAAAUUAUAAAGUGUAUUCUGUACAAGGUUUAAAAUAGAAAAGCUAUCUAACUACUCCUUAUUCAGCCCUAAUAAAUGCACAUUGAACAUCCAGAAUGGUAGCAUGGUAUGGUACCUUUAAAUGGUGCCUGCUUUUACUGGGCUAUUUGAUUUGCUUAUUAGUCCCCACCUGUGGCUGAAGGCAAUGUCCUGCAGCAGCAGACCCUGAGUCCUUGUGUCCUUCUGCUCGUCCUACCAGCAUGUGAUAGAGGAGGCCUCAGGCCAGGAGUAGAAAUUUGUUUGCACUGAUUCACGUACCGCAGAAUGCGAUGAUUUCAGGCAUGGGAUUAUGCUGGAAUUGGUUGUAAUUAUAAAAGUCAUUUGUGAAUUCAAAAACUGAAUGUAAGCUGAUUUUGUGGUGUCCUCUUAAGUCUGCACAAGUAUUGGAUACCUGUCAUGGGCAUGCCAACAUCCACUGAUCUGCUGCAUGUAUCCACUGCUUACAACCAGGUUUAACGGACUCAGAAGACUUGCUCACUGGUGUUAUUGUGCAAGCUGACAAAUGACCUCUGGGAACACUGAGACACUUGCAUUCUAGCUCUGCUGUAAGUCUAGAGCGAUCUCCUGGGCUGUGGGGAGUUUCCCUGGGUUGAUAAUGGCAGGAAUGAGGUGGGGCUGUGUGUCCCUCUGAGCAGAGUGCUGCAUGCGGGAUGCAGCCUGCUGAGCACAGACAACACAGUGCAGCCAGGCCCUCACAUCGGGGCUGUGCCUGUGGCCUCUAUCCGGUGCUCAUCUAAUGUCCUUGAGCUGGUAUUUCCAAAUGUUUCCAAACUGACCUGCCACAUCCUGAGAAACAAUGAAGCUGGUUAAGGUUCUUCAGGUCUAAAAGAAGUCCCAGUUAGACAACAAGUGAGAAGCUUUCUGUGGGCUGUCAGCAAAAGGUCUAGCAGUGUAUAGAGCCGCAAGAGCACAACAGUCCAUAUGGGCAUAUCCUGUGUCUGUGGCUCAGCCCUCGGCCAAAACACACGGAACACAUCGCCCAGGGCACAGCUUAUUGCCACAGGCAGCGCGAGGCCUCAGCAUGCAUUCAGAUUCAGAGCUGCAACCAGCAGUUACUGAAUAGCAGCCACUUACCGAGUCUAGGCACACUAUGAAAAUCCUUGAAUCAAAUGUCCCCAAGGGAGUCAGAAAUUAAAGAUGCUCUUCCACUCCAGGCUGGGGCAUCCACUAGAUCAAUACUCAGCAUAAAGAGCUUUCUGCUUGUCAGUGCAGGGUGGGUCGGCAGUCAGGGGGGGCAAUCCUGGUAACAAGCAAACCAACAGGCAGCAUACCGAGUAACAGGAGAAAAUGAAGGUGGCAAUAAAGACCAGGAGGAAGGUACGGCAGUGAGGGGCCCUGUGAUGCCUGAAUUGGAAAGCGUUUUGCCUCUCAGCUUGAACUAUUUAAUUAAGGAAUUUCACAGUAAUUUUGACUAAGUUUAAAGAGCAAUCAUUUAAGUGCUCCGGCUCACUAAAUACUCUUGCAGUCUAACUAAACAGCGAAUGUGGAAACUGAAGGAAUUCAAUGACACUGCAUUAACAGUCCCUGCUCUCUGCCUGUGCCGUGGGUCAGUGCUGCCCUGCAGUUGCCCACAUGGGUGUACGUGCUGGGGGGACAGGGGAUGUUCCAGGACCCUGGGACACAGAUACAGGCCUGGGGGGCACAGGCUGCGGGAGAUGUUUUCUGUCAUUUCCUAGAGGGGGCAGGGAGGUAGGGCUGCUGGUUGCUGUAGGAGGGGCAAAAGGCACAGCUGAACUAGAAGGAGGGGAAAGGCUCAGGGAUAUAAUGAGGAGGUGGGGGGAAAUGACAUGGGAAUGAAAGGGUGAGUGAGCAUGUGAGAUAGCCACUCAUCCUGGCCUUAUUCUGUUCAAAGCAGUCCCUUGAAGGGUGGGUACAAGACUUGAACAGAGGGGAUGGAUGUCAAAAUGUUUCCAUAAAGAAUAUAGUGUAAUAAAUCAGAGAAAAGAGCAGAAAGGAGGUAAGGAGCAAACGGUAGGAGAAUUAUUUUUAUUCUGAGUGAAUGAUUAUGUCUCCUGGGUGAUUACACAUCAGGGAGGUGGUGUGUUGGGGACUAUUCAGCUAGAGAGAAAGGAGUGUUCAAAUUACAGUCAUUGAACUAUAGUGCAUGCAAGGGUGUAAAUAAGAAAGGAUCAAUUGGAGAACAUCCAGCUGGAUUCAGCACGGCUGGGGCACUGCAAUCCUUGGGAAUUAAGCCAAAUAUCAUACAGGUGAAAGAGAGCUUUCACGGGAAGAUACUUUGAAUUCCUGCAAGUCAGUGAGAUAGCCCACAAGGUAAGCAGCAAAGCCUAUCAAAAAUGACUGUGAAUAUGUUAACUUGCAAGUACUGGGUCAAAUAUAGGACUGACAGUUUCUUCUGCGUUAUCUACCAAAACAGGGCAAGAAAUAUCUGCUGUAGUAUGUAUUCCUCUAUAAAUCAUAGCAGUGUACGGCUGGAAAAAGACAAGGGAUAAAAUACCAGUGCUCUGUAUUCAUUUUUUUUACUUGAUGAGCUUUAAGUAAGUUGUAGUAGGGCUGUUAUAGUUUCUGGAGCAUUAAGAAAACACGUUGUGCAACACCCGGAACUCAGAAAAAAUAGUUGUCCUGUUUCCUUGGUAGCUUGACAGAUGUUUUUACCUGCGCUUUUGGCUACCAACUCGACCUUUCCCCCUUUGGCUCAAAGAAGACUUUCAAAUCUGAACUUUGAUGCCCUGGAGCAGAGGUGUGGUCAGUAUAUGCCAGCAAUGACAAUAUGUAAAGUCAGUGGUUAUUUUGUGGUCUUAGUCCUGCUAGGCGCUGUCUUCAGUGUUCUGUUUAGCAGGCAUUGUCUCAUCCAUCGUAUGGGGAAAGGCUCUAGAGCUACUGAUACUGGAUUGCGACCUGAAGAAAUAAAAGUCAUUCUAUCUUUGUAAUUAGCAUGAGGACUAUCCUGCAGUCAAAGCUAGCCACCUGGAAAGUUUCAUCUUGUAAUGUGCAGCUUUUUUUGUGAAUUAUGAAUGUGCAAAAAAGAGACCUUUCUCCCUACACCCCCUCCCUUGCACACUUCAAAUAUGAAUGAAUAAAUUUUAUUCAGUCUCUCCCAAAAGGAAAAAAUAAAAAAAAAACAAACCUAAACACAUAUUUCAGCUGAUAACAAGCAUGAGAAAUUUCAGAUGAAAAGAAAUUUUUUUUAAAGAAUAUUAUGAGCAUGGGAGAACAGCAGGUUAAGAGGGAAGGCUCAGUGAAGCCUUAGCUGUAACAAUUGCCAGCAAGCAAAUACUAUAUCCAAGCACUAAAUCUUGCUUUGUGCUGCCCUGGUGCACAGUAGUGGGAACAGAAUAGAAUAAUAAAAGCCGGUCCCCUUAUGCAAACAGCAGGGCAUAGCUCUCAACAGAAUACAAGGAGAAGGUGAGCCUGCCUACUGUUCUGGCUCGCUAACCAUAUUCCUGAGGUCUGUGGGUUAGUUGUCACCUCUAGCUCCAGUCAGUAAGUAAAUGUACUUCAAACAAUAGCAAGGGGCACAUUUUGGGUCUUUCCUGAAGAAUAUUGUACCAAUUCAUUGCCUCCAAAUAUGCUGUUCUAUUAAAGUAUUUGAAGGAAGUUCAUAUAAGCAACAUGGUGGUUUAACAGGUCAAAAAAGGGAGUGGAACAGCUGCGAGAAGUUUUCUGAUUAACUGUGUGUUUAGAAAAAUACAGGGCUGUGAGGAAGGUAUUACAUGCAAGCCCCCCUCCUUAUCACUGUGCUUUUUGAGUGAAGCACCCACAGGCUGUGGCUCAUGCCAAUACCGCUUCAAAAGUGAGUUUUCAAAAUAAUUAAAAAUUGCAAUCAAAUACAUUCCGGCAUUGUGUUUUCUCUUGCUCCUAAUACUGCUUUGUUGAUAAGCCCGUCUCAUAUUUUCUACCUAGAAAAUGAGAUUAAAGACACAUUCACCUAUUGUUAAUAAAAAUUGACUACUAUGACUAAAGAAUAAUGAACACUUCAGCAUUACCUUAUGGAUCCACAUCUAUUAUAACAUCAACUGAAGGGCUUUGCAUGUGGCAAGCAGGACACCAAAAAAAUUCUUCUAUUCUGCCACGAGUUGCCUGUUGCAAGUUGAGUUUGGCAGCCAGGGACCAAUAUUGAGUUGUCAGCAUCCUCUUGCAUAGUGGAAAAAGUUGUUGCUUUCUUGUGCAGAUGCGAGAGUUUCUGUGGGAAAACAGAACAUAAUCAUGGUUCUGAGUGUCUCUGUGGAUUGGCAAUGUCUCUAAUACAUAGAUCACUUGUGCAAAUUCAGUCCCAGCUGGAUGGGAAAUUAUUGAAAGUGGUUGUUGUUUGAUUGAUAUAAAUGAGUUGUCAGCUUGAUUCAGUGCCUCCAGGGCAGAUGUCCACAGUGUAAUUGGCACCUGUCAGAAGCAAAGAAUUCCUUGGUACAGAGUAACAACUACUCCUGCGACACCCCAAAACAGUGCUUGUGUGCCAGGACUCAGCAGGAAGGCAGGCGAACAGAGUUUCUACUUUGGGGCAGGAUCUUUUAUGCCAUAAAGGCAGCAAAAAAUUUGGUGCAAGGUUUUCCUGGGCUCUGGCUAGAGACCAUUGUUCAGUUCCUCUGCUGUUUGGGCAACGCUUUCCUGAAGAAUUAGAGGAAAGCACAUACAUUUGGAUAUUUGUUAACAUUGUCAUGGUACGAGUAUAUUCAUAAAGAAUUAUUAUAAGGAAUUACUUAUUGUAAGGAAUGUUGUGAACAAUUAUGUUUUCUUACAUCUUGAGCAAUUCUCCUCAUGACAACGACAGCCCCAGAACUAAGGAAAUAGGAGAGUGUCUUCUCAGAAAAAAAAAUAUGGCAAAGAAACCACCGCUACUGGCGGUACUAACGUGUUUGCUAAUGGUAAACAGCAACCUGUUGCUUACCAAAGACUGGAACAAAGCAGAUUUUCUCCAUGAGUUCACUCUCCCAUUGCCGGACUGCUGAGCUGGCCACCUCCAUGGGGCUGCUGCUCUGGGAGGCACCAGCUGAAGGGCUGUCCAUUAAAAUUCAUUUUACCGUCUUCAUCUAGUGAAUGGCUCAACUUUCCUUCUCUCCUUUCAUCUCUGUUUCCUCCUUUAGAUUAUUUUUCAUUAUGCCUCCCCCCAACAUACACACACUUUCCCUUUCAUCUCUAUAUGUAUGCUAUUCCAGCACUUGUCAGCCACAGCAGGAGGGACAUGGUAGAACCAAACAAUAUGAUCUGUUAGGUGGAAGAAAAUAUUAUUAUCAGCCGCCUUAGAACAAUCAUUUAUCAUCGCAUUUUAAAGAGGUCUGCUAUGUUAUUUAUUUUAUUAUUCUGUAUUAGGUACAUGAUUUAAUUUUACAGGCAUUAUUAAUCACUAAAAUACAUUACACUUUCAGCCAGGAUGUUAACAUUUUAAAUGCAUUCAUCUUGCUUCUUAAAACAGAAACAAUGGGCCUUCUGCAGUGCCCUCCCUCCCCUUCAGUCAAUAAAUCCUUUCUAUUGAUUCAGGAAAUAACUCUAAGCACUGUUUUAUAUUUUAAGUUCUACUAGCCACGCUCAGCCAUGUAAUUUUGCUUAAUAACAAAUGGAUCUUCUAUUUUUGCUGGUUACAACACGUUUGGUUAUCAAACUCAGUUUGGAAGUACCCGGUAACAGAGCACACCGACCAUGGCAGAGAGGCACUGCAAGAGAGUUCCUAAAUGAAUGUUACAUUAAAAUAAAGUAUCUUUUAAAAGUAUUUGUGCAUGUGUACAAAAAGCAGCCUCAUCAGGAGACAAAUGAUAAAUGAAAAAUCCAUCAGUGCUACAGAUUCCCUUGAGCCAGCUUGGAUCAACAGACAAAAUGGAUUUUUGAUAAAUCAUGGCUUUGCCAUUGUUUAUUCUCUCCUGGAAUACCCAUUGCAAAUCUCAGAGAGAUAAUUAGAGAAUUAUCAUAUUGCUUAACUAAGUAGUUGUGUUAUAUUCUGCGUAUCCCAACCCAGGGCAGUAUCAUUAGCAUUGUUUAAUUGUUGCAAAUACGGUCAUUCUAUUUAAUAAAUUGUCUUCAUUGUCAAUAUCUCUGAUUGACUAUUUCUCUUCUCAUAAUGUUGUUGGAUAGGUUAGUUACCAGGUAAUCUUACAGUUAAUACAUAACACAAUGAGGCAAAAUGUAAGAAAAUGCAAAGGUCAAAAACAUGUUUCUAUUAUGAAAAAAAUGAAUGAUAAUGACAUAAUUUUUUCAGCUCAUCAGGUUCUUUGCUAAGUGCCUCUGUUAUUGCCAGAUCAGUAGUGUAUAACAAAGGAGUGCUUUCUGUAGGCUGCUUCAUUAGCCUGCCCUGUAGGACCUCACCUCAGACCUUUCACUAAUCUGUUGGCCAGCUCAAUAGCCUUGUUAGUUCUAUUCACUUCUUCCUGGCAGCGGCUUUUCUCAGCUGUAGCUCUCAAAGGCAGUGGUUAAGGCAGCCAGAAUUAUGUCUAGUUCCUUCAAAUAAAAACAGUGAGAAACAACUUGGGCAUUGUAAGGACACAUAAAAAUAUUUCUGCUGUCCCAUUUUAUAUUUCUGGAAGUUAAAUUAUGCAGUGUAAGAAAGGUGUAAACAUCAACUGCUCUUCGAGCUUUUGUCUAGGUCAUGCUCCAAAGGCAGAUUUGAGAAAAGCUCUGGAAAAUCAUGGCCGGUCCUCUAAUGUCCCUUGCUUGUUCACAGCAGCAUUAAAAGUGAAACUGCAAACUUGAUCUUGUACCAAUCAGUAAAAUAGAAAUGCCACCUUCUCCCACAGAAUUUUGAAAUGUAGCAAAAUAUAUUUCUUACUACAGCUAUAUUUGCUGUAUAUAGGUGAUCAAAAGCUCUCUGCAAAGAUGUCUGUUUGGAAACUGAAGAGAAUAGAAAUUUUAAAGGUGAUUGAUAGAUAAAACACUUGCAAAUGCACAAGUCAGUGUCCUUUGCUGACUUUCAAUUAGACUGGUUUCCAAGUGCAGUGAGCCUUACAAAAAGCAGCCUGAAAUCCCCAAACCUAGGAGCAGGCAGCUCCGCACCCACUGCAUUGUCGCACUGAGGCAUGCAUACAGUCCCACUGGGUUACAACCCACAUUGUCCCCAGGGAGGAGCAUGAGGGAGUGCAGCAUGGGUGGCUGGGCAGGGACAUACAGCGUGGGGCAGCUGUAAAGACCCCUGCACAGCGAAUGUGUGGAUAUUUGUGGACGUCUGUAGAGAGAGCACGCAGCCAACAAAAUGGAUGGGAAAUGGUGGCCUUCCUGAGCAGCAGGUGCCUGUGCUGCCUGACUGACCUCAGUGCUGUCCUGGGGACUCCCUGUGCUUUUCCCCAGAGUAAUGCUGAGUGACCUCCUCAGAGUUCCCUGCCUUAGGGACAAGGAAGGAGCUAGGUAUGGGGCAGAUAGUUGUUUUGUUGAGGUGCUUUGGAAGAACACUGAAUGGCAGAACAACCAUUUCUAGGCAGCCCUAAGACAGCCUUUGCAGAAGGCUCAGCUUGUGCGGAGCAGGGAGGCAGGGCUUGGGCCCACCACAGGUAUGAUGCGUCAUGUUUCAGCUGCAGCCUCAGCUGGCUGUGGAGGCUGCACCAUUUACCUGAAAUUGUUAAAAAUGCUAGCGUGUGAUAAAUUACUCUGGCAAAUACCUCUGCUUUGUACAAUGAAUCACACCAGAAAGACCUCAGACAGAGAAAGAUAUUAUAAAUAAAUGAAUUUUAAAGGUCUCAAAACUGACCAGUCUUCCGGGUGUUAAAGUUCAGGUCCUUGGGCCCACCAGAAUCCCAGUUUCCCUUAAGAUCUUUGUCUUCCACAGCAACACGCUCCCACAAAGCUUGCUGCUGUGUAUUUACACUACCUAUACACAAAUGAUGACAGACAAAUGGACAACAAGAGAGAUCAAGGGCCUGGCACUAAACCCAAGGGAAUAGAGAGAGAAAGAAGGGUGAAAAAAGUGACUUGCUGCACCAAGUGAGGCUGUUGCAGCUCCUGGGCAGGCAGCAAAACCUACCUGGCGCUGCUUCAGCAGGUCCCAAGAAACCAGAAAUGAUUUCUCACUGUUUUGGCUCUACUGAGCCAGGCUGAAACACAGCACAGUGCCCUGCUCUCUGUUCACUGUUGAACAGCUUUUUGUCUUCUAAAAGGAUAGAAUAAAAAUUAGUUAUCUGGGGUGAAAUAUAAGUAGACAACCGAGACAUAAAAACCAAUAUAUAUGUGGUUAAACAGGGAAAGAACAGUUUCAGUUCAUACUGGGCAAAACUAUGACCUGUGGGAACCGCUAGUGGCAGAGUGCAGCUGGACAGGAGCCAUGUUGUGAGGCUGACAAUGUCCGCUUCUCCGUAAUUAUUUCCAAGGCUUUAUCAUAUGAAACAGUGCAUGCCAGGAAACACGCUGCUCACUGCUGGGUACCACUCCUUCUCCCCAUCUCCUUCUAGCUCAUUUGCAAUGUGAACACCUUGCCUCAUUCCCCUCCUUUGGCAUGGUGUUUGUGGUGGGCAUGGGCCUGGGCAGGGGGGCUGUGCAGCUCUGCUCCCUGCCCAGGAGGGAGCCCAGAGCAAUCGGGCCCAGAGUGGACUGCAACCUAAUGGAUGAGCCACGUUUGUGACUUUCCAUAAAUAAUGUGCUAAAUGGAUAAAAAGAUACCAUUUUUCCUUCUUUCCCCUGAGUUACUGAUAACAAGACAAGUUCCUUCCCUUACAGUUUGUGCAUAUAAAUGUGAUUAAUGUGAAAAAAAAUAAAAUUAAAGUGCCAAAAUUUCUUUCUCUCUCUCUCUUUUUCUAAAGCAUUGCCCUUUUCAAAACAAGGGGAAAUUCAGUAUAGUUUCAGUGCCACAGUGAUCAAACAGUGUCACAUCACUAUGGCAAUUGCUGCCCAGGCCAGGAAUACAGAUCAGCUUUAAUUGUGCAACGCCUUAUUGCUGGUGCAUGUCAAUCAGAACCUAUGAAUUGAGAAAAAUUUGCUCUGUUCAUUCUGUUAAAUGAUGUAUCCAAUUAAACCUGUUAGAAUUCAUGAUCUUCAGUCAAGGUUAAAUGAAAGUAGUUACUCCUGUCAGCUAGGUGAUUAAAUGCUGCCUACAUCAGGCACAUUUAUGUGCAAAAUUAAAAUUUUGGUAUAAAGCAUGAAUCUUUAUGCAUGCCAGUUAAUUAUCUUGCGGUUCCUCCAUUUAUUAAAUGCCCACUGCAUUUCUUCUUAAUCAUCAGCUUCCUUUCAAAACUUAUUUCAUACUUUAUACUAUACCAAAUUUCAAUGUUUAAAAUGAAAGCUGUUUCAAUGAAAACUUCCUCUUUGCAAGGGCUUGGCUGUUGCUACAAUACUGAAGAUGGCCAUUAACAGUUUUUGAGUCAUUAUACAGAAGGCUGAUGUGUGUUGUUUUGUUUAAUCCAUAGAGCACGCAACAGGAACUCCUGAGCUGCUGCAGCCGGCCAUCCCUUCCAUCCCAGAGCUGCCAGGGUCUGGCUGCAGUCAGCCAACUUCAAGGCCCUGCAGGCAGUGGGGAUCAGGACAGUGGCUGUCCUGUUGAGUACAGUGGCAGAAGGACCAGAAGACAGCAGGGCACAGGCACUAGGGCAAGCCCACAGGCACUGGAGCCACUGCAGCCCUGAUGCCCACUCCCCUGCCAGCCUUCAGCCAGCACCUGUAUUCCUUUAGGUUUGGCAAAGUGCUGCGUCCUGUUUGCCCUAGGCAGCUACCACAUUGCAAUAUCACACUUUAAUUAGAAGGAAAAUAAUAUGUUGCAUGCUUAAAAUUAAAUUCAGUUGCAUAUUUAUAUUUAUAAGACACACUAUGGGCAGGAUUUAAAUGCCAUAUGAAUUGAGGAAGCAGAAUAUAGGUGUAUUAUAGUGAUUUCUAGCUGAAACAGUUGCUGGAAAUGCAUACAAAGCAGAGCAGCACCAAAUGCUAAUUUAAUACCCUAAGACAACGCUCCAUGCUCAUACAAGCACAAUUUCAAAUAUUCUAUGUGUGCAUUUAUCCCUUUUCAUUAUGAAAAGAUAUUAAGAACCGUAGUGACAAACACGCAACAUAAAAAAUAUGUCAUACCACUUCAUGACUACUAAUGAAUAAUAUCAUUUAAAACAGACUGGGAAAUAAACUAGUAUAACACGUUCUACUAAACUAGUACUAUAAAUAUGCACAAGGUUGUUAUUAAAGAUAAAUGCACACAGUAAUUUUCUACUUGUAGGUUUUACAGGUAUAAUUUUGAAUCAUACAAUAUUUUUUAACACACAUCACAGUGAUGGGAGCCAACGGGAGCCUGACAGGCAGUGGCUCCCCAGGACCAAUCUCUGAUGUCUCCAUCUCUCCUUGAGAACCCACAUUAAUUAUCGUGGCCGCAGGAACCGUCAGGACGCGAUGAUGCUCAGGUCACAGCAGGCAGCCUCUGACCCUGCAGCAGUUCCACCCGUGGCAUGGCGAUCAUGCUUGCAGAGCUCGCCAGAUGCCCCGACCAGCAAUGCAUGACCCCCCCCAACUUCUAGGAGGUGGCUCAUUUUCUCUGGCACAUGCACCUUCUGCUGCAGACAACAGAGAAAAACAGGUAUUGCUUUCCUUUACUGUUCAGCAACUAUCAGCUCAGUCUCUCUAGAUAUCUCAGCAAAAGAGGAGUAAAGGAAACCUUCACAGUCACAGAUAACAAUUCCUCCAGGAUCUGUCAGGAGUGCCGCAGCAGGAAGGCAGCUAACAGCGAGCCGCCUCGCAAGCUUUGAGAUGUCUGCUGCCGAACUGCUUCAGCCCGUCGCUUGGACCAUCCAGAACUUAGUGCCUAUUUUCCUUUCUCCGUGUGUUUUUUCAUUCUGGUACUCCAGACCCAGGCGUAAGUUGUUAACCCCAGGCCCAAUGUGCCUUAAUGUCACCCCAUGAAGUGAUACUGUCAGGACAAUUUGUUUCUGCUCAAAACAAUUUCCCUUUCUUAAAAUUGUGACUGUUAGGUUAGCAUCCCAUUGAGAUGAGAGGAGAAAAGAGCUGCAGCUUCUAAAAUUUUAAGGUAGACAAGCUGCAAUGAUUUAUCGUCAGCUUGCUGUUUUAUAUCCAUAAGAGCAAAACAUUUCUUCUUAGUGACGAUUAAAUUGUGCAGAAACUGACUGACAUUGAUAAGGCAAACACCACAGUCUGCUUAAACAGACUGAGAGCUGCAGAUCAGGUGCUGCUUGACCAAAAGAAUUUAAGUGUACACACAUACACAUGCAUUUAUUUGAUUCCAUAGGCAAUUUUCUCUCACAGCACAUAUAAAGCAAUGUAUGAAGAUAAAACAAAAUUGGCAUGGAAUUACCUGUUUUUAGUAGAUAUAUUUACAAAGAAUUUGUGGUUUGGAUUACAGUCAUUUUCAUGUAAAACUUACUUAGAAAGUAAUUAAGCUUAUUUUAUCUAUUAAUUCAUAUUUUUUGUUUUGUAUUCUGCUGCUAAAACAAAACUAAAAACUAUGGAAGGAUGGAUUUUUUUUUUUGCUGGAUAUUAGAAAUGAAUAGAACAAGGGUUGUUAAUGUUUGUCAUUUUCCUUAUCUGUACACAUGAAUAUGUUAUAUGCUCAUUUCCAUUGCAAAUGGAACAUCAAAAUGAUCAUUGCAAACUGAAACAUACUGUACAUUUCAUUACUUCAUUUCUUUGAAAAUACUGACAAAAAUAAUCAAUUGCUAGAAUUCUUGUACUAAAGCUUUGCAACUCAAUGAAAAUUGAAUGAAUAAUGGUGUCCAUCCAGAAUAAAGCUGGCAUCAUCCUCCAGAGGGUCACUGCUGUCCCCUUCUGUAACAAAGUCAGCCCAUGGAGCCCUGAAUCACAACAGGACAACUGUGCCAGGCACUGCACAACACAACUGUGCAAAGCUCUGCACAAACACAUGGUCACUUUGCUUCUGGCACACCUUUCCUCCACUCUCCUCGCAUUUAAUGUAACAAAAUGAAGGCAGAGAGGAGAUGUGACUUAUUAUAAUCACAUCAGUGAGCAAAUACUGAAAAGGAAAAAGAAGUAUUUGAGAUAAAGAACAAAAUAGCUGCAAAUAUAUUCAGACUGACAGUUAGGAGGUUUUUAUCCAUCUGAGCAGUGCAGUUUUGGAGCUGCAUUUCUACAGCAGCUGUGGAGAGAAACCUCCGUAGAGCUAGGCAGAAACUCACACCAUUUGGGAAAGGGAGCUGAGGCUUUAGCUUUCAAUUACUCUGUGUUUGUUGUUCAGAGUACAACAAUGUCUCAUUCUUAAUCAUCUCUAGAGAGUUCCAAAAUGUAGUAAUGAAUUAAAAAAUGCAGUGAGAGAUAGUGCCUAGCCCAAAGUGGGGCUUUUGUCAUAGGAAACAGAACCAGAGGAAGAAAAAGAUAUAAAAGCGGGGAUUAGCUCAGAGCCCAGAAUGACAUUUGAAGACACAGUUAAAAAAAAAACAAUAAAUCUCAAUAUGGAAGGAGGACUGGGGCUCUUGACAAAAUGAUGAGACUGUCAGCCAGAAAACAAAAACAAUAUGGAAUAAAUACGCAGGAAUAAAAACAUAGGGUGUAAAACGGGAAGGUAAACCACAUCCUUCUGAGCUGAAAGGACCCAUAAUCAUGUACACCUGGUCUUACUGCUAAUGGGACAACAGGUCGUACCCGGAAAACCCUUACUUAUGCAAGUAAUCCUACUAAAAUCAAUUGUAACCCAUGACUGUAAUGACUGCUUCCUUGUCUCUGUUAGGGAUUGCAAGGUCAGGUCCAUUUUCUGUGCAAUAUUGGAUGAAUGCUAGAAAAUCAAUAGCUCUAUUGAGACUUCUUCUUUUGGAGUAAAAAUAAACCUGGAUCAUUUUAAGUUCAAAUGUUCAUUGUUCUUGGGUGUUUUUAUAAAUUCCUUCUGAAAGCAAAAUGGCCAAAACAAAAUGGAGUGAAAUGCUCACCUUUUUGGUGUGUUUUACAGCUUGUUUCUAUAACUAGCUUUGUAAUGCUGUAAAGGUUAAAGGCAACUUCAUCAUUUCUUUGUAUUUGUUCUCCAUCAGUUAAAAUUGACAUAAACUG
Meleagris gallopavo (turkey) is the source of this 19196-nucleotide non-coding RNA. The record is from RefSeq and is a predicted model, not a curated record. Lineage: Eukaryota; Metazoa; Chordata; Aves; Galliformes; Phasianidae.